RNAcentral lists this ribosomal RNA (465 nucleotides) under uncultured bacterium. RNAcentral's name for it is "bacterial SSU rRNA". It matches the Rfam family "Bacterial small subunit ribosomal RNA", at positions 329 to 792 of the family's 1533-position model. The record is from RNAcentral.
UUCCAGACUCCUACGGGAGGCAGCAGUGAGGAAUAUUGGUCAAUGGUCGUAAGACUGAACCAGCCAAGUAGCGUGCAGGAUGACGGCCCUAUGGGUUGUAAACUGCUUUUAUGCGGGGAUAAAAUGCGUCACGUGUGAUGUUUUGUAGGUACCGCAUGAAUAAGGACCGGCUAAUUCCGUGCCAGCAGCCGCGGUAAUACGGAGGAUGCGAGCGUUAUCCGGAUUUAUUGGGUUUAAAGGGUGCGUAGGCGGAAUAUCAAGUCAGCGGUAAAAAUUCGGGGCUCAACCCCGUCGUGCCGUUGAAACUGAUGUUCUUGAGUGGGCGAGAAGUAUGCGGAAUGCGUGGUGUAGCGGUGAAAUGCAUAGAUAUCACGCAGAACUCCGAUUGCGAAGGCAGCAUACCGGCGCCCAACUGACGCUGAAGCACGAAAGCGUGGGGAUCGAACAGGAUUAGAUACCCGGGUA